AGUGAACGCUGGCGGUAGGCCUAACACAUGCAAGUCGAACGGCAGCACAGGAGAGCUUGCUCUCUGGGUGGCGAGUGGCGGACGGGUGAGGAAUACAUCGGAAUCUACUCUGUCGUGGGGGAUAACGUAGAGAAACUUACGCUAAUACCGCAUACGACCUACGGGUGAAAGCAGGGGACCUUCGGGCCUUGCGCGAUUGAAUGAGCCGAUGUCGGAUUAGCUAGUUGGCGGGGUAAAGGCCCACCAAGGCGACGAUCCGUAGCUGGUCUGAGAGGAUGAUCAGCCACACUGGAACUGAGACACGGUCCAGACUCCUACGGGAGGCAGCAGUGGGGAAUAUUGGACAAUGGGCGCAAGCCUGAUCCAGCCAUACCGCGUGGGUGAAGAAGGCCUUCGGGUUGUAAAGCCCUUUUGUUGGGGAAGAAAUCCAGCUGGCUAAUACCCGGUUGGGAUGACGGUACCCAAAGAAUAAGCACCGGCUAACUUCGUGCCAGCAGCCGCGGUAA
This 506-nucleotide ribosomal RNA is filed under the name uncultured bacterium. Its description in RNAcentral is "partial 16S ribosomal RNA". It matches the Rfam family "Bacterial small subunit ribosomal RNA", at positions 29 to 523 of the family's 1533-position model. The record is from RNAcentral.